This 243-nucleotide ribosomal RNA is filed under the name uncultured bacterium. RNAcentral's name for it is "partial 16S ribosomal RNA". It matches the Rfam family "Bacterial small subunit ribosomal RNA", at positions 92 to 334 of the family's 1533-position model. The record is from RNAcentral.
CGACCGGCGCACGGGUGCGUAACGCGUAUGCAACCUACCUUUAACAGGGGGAGUAACACUGAGAAAUUGGUACUAAUACCCCAUAAUAUCAUAGAAAGGCAUCUUUUAUGGUUGAAAAUUCCGAUGGUUAGAGAUGGGCAUGCGUUGUAUUAGCUAGUUGGUGGGGUAACGGCUCACCAAGGCGACGAUACAUAGGGGGACUGAGAGGUUAACCCCCCACACUGGUACUGAGACACGGACCAG